GAGGGUAUAGCUCAGUGGUUAAGCACCUGCCUCUCACGUAGGAGGUUCUGGGUUCAAUCCUCAGUACCUCCU
Molecule: transfer RNA, 72 nt
Filed under: Dasypus novemcinctus (nine-banded armadillo)
Lineage: Eukaryota; Metazoa; Chordata; Mammalia; Cingulata; Dasypodidae
Description: tRNA-Glu (CTC) (tRNA-Glu-CTC-6-1)
Rfam family: tRNA
About the family: Transfer RNA (tRNA) molecules are approximately 80 nucleotides in length.
Source: RNAcentral